GCCAACCCUCCUCAUCUGUUUUGCUUCAAUGUCUGCCCUAAAGGCUGUGAGCAAAAUCGUUCCCUCAGCAUUUUCCUCACAGCUCAGAGAGGGAGAAAGAGAAAGAUGAAGGACAUUCACCCUCUGGCCCUACCCAGAGGCCUCUGUGGGCGUCCCGCAGGCAGAAGAGGAUGACAGAUGUCACCCCUUCCCUUGUGUGCAGGGGAGGCCGCCUCUGCCUGAUUCUGUCCAGUUAGCAAAACAGGAGGAGCUGCCAAGACAAAUAGCUGAGAUAUGAGAGUUACAGCUAGCGCUCACCACGGUGUGAAACAGACCCGUGAAACGAGACAUCAAGGAUGCUGCUUGGAAUAGCUUGAAUGUCGAACAUUCUUUCCCAGUGGAGGGACAGAAGGAGGCCAGCAGCAGCAGUGUGGGAGAUGGAGGCACAGUGUUGUCCCGGGGGCCGACACACGGGGCAACCCCAGAACUCUAUGCGAGCACUUUUUUGGGAUAAUUUUUCUCCCUAGGAGGAUCCAUCAUUUUCCGAGUGUACCAGGAACAAGAAGCCUGGGCUGAUUCACAGAGGGCGGCUCAGGCAGCCCCUCCCAUGGCACUCCGCCUAACUGGUCAGCCAAGCGUACCCAAGGCUCCAGACAACGUCACAGCCUAAUGGCUGCUGGGUGUGUCCACAGUGUGGAAUGCAUUGAGCUGUUUGCUCCUGUGGGCACAUUUCUGAGUCUAUGUCAUCCCCACCAAAAUAAAUCAUGUUUUAAAUGUACAUGAACUAUGACCAUAGACGUGCUCUCCCUGUCUCUUCUCCAUCAUUAAGUCUCAGCAGGACCUCACACCAGACAAUGGCAGGAUGGCCUGGAGAUGGGAAGGGAGGAAAAGCCAUCCUAUUCCAUGAGCAGCAUUCCCAGUGGUGCCGCACAAGCCAGGCCAUAGCAACACCUGGAAACCUUCUCCUGGAGACCUGGGGAAGGGUCCAGCUCACACAAAGACUAACUACUACCAUCACCCGACCUCAGAUCUCUGUGCCACCGUGAUCUAGUACACCAGAAUCUGCAGGGCCAGGUGAAGUUGGCGCAGCUUUUGGUUAACAGCGAUGCAAAUGGGACUUCAGAUUCAGAUGACUGUUGAAUCCAAUAAAGAGAAAAUUG
Molecule: long non-coding RNA, 1139 nt
Filed under: Pan troglodytes (chimpanzee)
Lineage: Eukaryota; Metazoa; Chordata; Mammalia; Primates; Hominidae
Description: long non-coding RNA NONPTRT014944
Source: RNAcentral